RNAcentral lists this ribosomal RNA (468 nucleotides) under uncultured bacterium. Its description in RNAcentral is "partial 16S ribosomal RNA". The stretch from base 58 to 468 matches the Rfam family "Bacterial small subunit ribosomal RNA", at positions 39 to 507 of the family's 1533-position model. The record is from RNAcentral.
GGGGGGGGGGGGGGGGGGGGGGGGGGGGGGGGAGUCGGGCGGGAGGGGCGGGGGUGGGGGGGGUGCGCGGGGGGGGGACGGGUGAGUGACCCGUGGGUACCCUGCCCGUGGCUGUGUGAUGACUUCAUGGAAGUGGGGCUAAGACCUGAUAUCGUCUCCUGCUGCAUGGUGCGGGUUUGGACGUUUCUGCGGUUGGGGGUGGCCUCGCGUCUUCUCAGAUUGUGCGGGGGGUAGUGGCUUCCCCAGGCUUUGACGGGUAGGCGGCCUGAGAGGGUGACCGGCCACAUUGGGACUGAGAUACGGCCCAGACUCCUACGGGAGGCAGCAGUGGGGAAUAUUGCACAAUGGGCGGAAGCCUGAUGCAGCAACGCCGCGUGCGGGAUGACGGCCUUCGGGUUGUAAACCGCUUUCGCCUGUGACGAAGCGUGAGUGACGGUAAUGGGUAAAGAAGCACCGGCUAACUACGUG